Long non-coding RNA from Cynocephalus volans (Philippine flying lemur), 381 nucleotides. RefSeq lists it as uncharacterized. The transcript is spliced from 2 exons. NCBI's taxonomy places the organism in Eukaryota, Metazoa, Chordata, Mammalia, Dermoptera, Cynocephalidae. The record is from RefSeq and is a predicted model, not a curated record.
GAGAAAGGAAGCCGGAGAGCGGGCGGGAGGGGGCGGGGGCGCUUAAAGGGGCCGAGGUCUCCGCCGGGCCCGGCGGGCAGACUUGCCUGCGGCCCUGGCCUCUGCUCCGGCGCUCCCCGGGCCCGGAGGCACUGUGUGUGAGUGGUCACGCCCUUGCUGAAUACGCAUGCCACCAACAAUAUGGACGCCCAAGUGCCGGAGAGGUCAUGCAGUGUAUGCCCCUGUCUCCGGGCUAAAAAUCAUCUAUCCCUCCAUCCACGCAUCCAUCUAGAGAGGAAGAAACCUGGACGGUUUUUAAAGACUUCCGAGGAGUGACCAGUGUGCCUGUGUGCUCUAAUAUCCAUUUGUCAUCUGCCUUGCAUACAUCCACGGUUUUUCUGA